RNAcentral lists this ribosomal RNA (253 nucleotides) under uncultured bacterium. RNAcentral's name for it is "partial 16S ribosomal RNA". It matches the Rfam family "Bacterial small subunit ribosomal RNA", at positions 524 to 776 of the family's 1533-position model. The record is from RNAcentral.
UACGAAGGGGGCUAGCGUUGCUCGGAAUCACUGGGCGUAAAGAGUGCGUAGGCGGGUCUUUAAGUCAGGGGUGAAAUCCUGGAGCUCAACUCCAGAACUGCCUUUGAUACUGAGGAUCUUGAGUUCGGGAGAGGUGAGUGGAACUGCGAGUGUAGAGGUGAAAUUCGUAGAUAUUCGCAAGAACACCAGUGGCGAAGGCGGCUCACUGGCCCGGUACUGACGCUGAGGUGCGAAAGCGUGGGGAGCAAACAGG